CCCCCCAGCCCACACUGGCCCUGCCCUCAGGUAAGCCCAGGAGUUCCGAGGGAGGACGGGGUAAGACAAAACCCCUUUGGGCUCCCCACCCCCAGGAUUAAAUUCCUGGGAAGAUAGCUGGAACUGUCUUGGAAGCCUGAGUCCCAGGGGGAAAGGGCUAUGACCUUGAAGCUUUACAGCGCCCCUCCCAACCCCACAGCUCCCGAUGGCCAGGAAGGGGGGUGGUGGUGAGAGGAGGGGGAGGCGCGUGGUGGGGAAAGCAGCCGGCCCACAGCGCUCCUUGCCCGCUCCCCCACACCAGCUGUCUCGACAGAGAUCCUGCCUGCAAAUGAUGUCAGAGAUGAGAAAGUAAAACUAAGAGGUGGUUCCUGAUGACAUCAUCUGACAACUGGAGUAGUCGUGCCUUCAGUCCUUGAAGUCUUCAAUUACAUGACCCAUGACUCCAAGCCCCGCCCCCAGGACCUUGCACAGACACGUGUCCAAUAACUGCGCGCAGAGAAGCUCCGGGGCCAGGCCUAAGCAGAGGC
Lontra canadensis (Northern American river otter) is the source of this 527-nucleotide long non-coding RNA. RefSeq lists it as uncharacterized. The record is from RefSeq and is a predicted model, not a curated record. NCBI's taxonomy places the organism in Eukaryota, Metazoa, Chordata, Mammalia, Carnivora, Mustelidae. The transcript has 3 exons.